GGUAGGAUGGCUGAGUUAAGCGGUGGGUUGUAGCCCCAUAUACAGAGGUUUGAGCCCUCUUCCUAUCA
Molecule: transfer RNA, 68 nt
Filed under: Synodus variegatus (variegated lizardfish)
Lineage: Eukaryota; Metazoa; Chordata; Actinopteri; Aulopiformes; Synodontidae
Also listed under: 1 other name
Description: tRNA-Tyr
Rfam family: tRNA
About the family: Transfer RNA (tRNA) molecules are approximately 80 nucleotides in length. Their secondary structure includes four short double-helical elements and three loops (D, anti-codon, and T loops). Further hydrogen bonds mediate the characteristic L-shaped molecular structure. tRNAs have two regions of fundamental functional importance: the anti-codon, which is responsible for specific mRNA codon recognition, and the 3' end, to which the tRNAs corresponding amino acid is attached (by aminoacyl-tRNA synthetases). tRNAs cope with the degeneracy of the genetic code in two manners: having more than one tRNA (with a specific anti-codon) for a particular amino acid; and 'wobble' base-pairing, i.e. permitting non-standard base-pairing at the 3rd anti-codon position.
Source: RNAcentral